This 21-nucleotide microRNA is filed under the name Panagrellus redivivus. RNAcentral's name for it is "prd-miR-7873a-3p". Lineage: Eukaryota; Metazoa; Nematoda; Chromadorea; Rhabditida; Panagrolaimidae. The record is from miRBase by way of RNAcentral.
UAAGCUCAUGUACGGUGCGCG